Molecule: transfer RNA, 73 nt
Rfam family: tRNA
About the family: Transfer RNA (tRNA) molecules are approximately 80 nucleotides in length. Their secondary structure includes four short double-helical elements and three loops (D, anti-codon, and T loops).
Source: Rfam
GCCGGCUUAGCUCAGUUGGUAGAGCAUCGCAUUCGUAACGCGGGGGUCACAGGUUCAAGUCCUGCAGCCGGCA